CCUACGGGAGGCAGCAGUGAGGAAUAUUGGUCAAUGGACGAGAGUCUGAACCAGCCAAGUAGCGUGAAGGAUGACUGCCCUAUGGGUUGUAAACUUCUUUUAUAUGGGAAUAAAAUGUUCCACGUGUGGGAUUUUGUAUGUACCCUAUGAAUAAGGAUCGGCUAACUCCGUGCCAGCAGCCGCGGUAAUACGGAGGAUCCGAGCGUUAUCCGGAUUUAUUGGGUUUAAAGGGAGCGUAGGUGGAUUGUUAAGUCAGUUGUGAAAGUUUGCGGCUCAACCGUAGAAUUGCAGUUGAAACUGGCAGUCUUGAGUACAGUAGAGGUGGGCGGAAUGCGUGGUGUAGCGGUGAAAUGCUUAGAUAUCACGAAGAACUCCGAUUGCGAAGGCAGUUCACUGGACUGCAACUGACACUGAGGCUCGAAAGUGUGGGUAUCAAACAGGAUUAGAUACCCUUGUAGUC
This 460-nucleotide ribosomal RNA is filed under the name uncultured bacterium. RNAcentral's name for it is "partial 16S ribosomal RNA". It matches the Rfam family "Bacterial small subunit ribosomal RNA", at positions 338 to 795 of the family's 1533-position model. The record is from RNAcentral.